Engraulis encrasicolus (European anchovy) is the source of this 522-nucleotide long non-coding RNA. RefSeq lists it as uncharacterized. Lineage: Eukaryota; Metazoa; Chordata; Actinopteri; Clupeiformes; Engraulidae. The transcript has 3 exons. The record is from RefSeq and is a predicted model, not a curated record.
GUCUCUAUGCACCAUUCAUCUCAACACUAACCAAAUGGUGGCUUUGUAACAGUGAUUGUGGGAGGAUGCUGUGCAGGUGUCAACAUGAAUGUGCCGGAGGACUAGAGUAUGCUGGCGUCGACACCCCACCUCCUCCCCUUCAGACUCCAUCGAGGGUUGGUCCCUGUCCUGUGAGGAGAGGAUGCAAUGGGUCUCUGCUUCAGCCGUGGCACCUUCUCUACAACCCUCGCCACUGUCACCAGUUUGUCCCCAUCCUGUGAAGGGGGGUAGGCUUUAGCCCCCUGCCUCAUCAAUCGGCAGGAUAAGCGCCCUCUUCUUUGAAACAGGACAUGUUUUAUUGAUGCUCUACAUGAGUAUUAUAUACAUGUAUAUAUACAGUGCCAUGUGUAUGUUUUUACCCCCCCUACUGAUUUUGUUUACUUUUUUGCACAUUUGGCACACUUAACAUUUUCAGAUAGCCACACUAAUGUAAACAUUACCCAUGACCCAAGUAAGCAUAAAAUGCAGUUUCUCAGUGAUUAA